AGACCUUUAGUUUGAAACCCCGAAACCAAGUGAGCUACCCCGAGACAGCCUAUUUAAAUUUAGGGCUAACCCGUCUCUGUGGCAAAAGAGUGGGAAGAGCUCUGGGUAGAAGUGACAGACCUACCGAACCUGGUGAUAGCUGGUUGCCUGAGAAAUGGAUAGAAGUUCAGCCUCGUAUACCCCAAAUCAUAAAAGUAUAUCGUAAAGACAAUUAAGGGAAAAAUACGAGAGUUAGUUAAAGGGGGUACAGCCCCUCUAACAAAGGAUACAACCUUAACAGGAGGAUAAAGAUCAUAAUAUAUAAAACAUACUGUUUUAGUGGGCCUAAAAGCAGCCAUCUAAAUAGAAAGCGUUAAAGCUCGGACAGACAAAAGUUUAUUAUACUGAUAAAAAAAUCUUAUUCCCCUAACAAUAUUAGGCUAACCCAUGCCCACAUGGAAGAAAUUAUGCUAAAAUGAGUAACAAGAAGAAUUGCUCUUCUCCAGGCACAAGUGUAGGCCAGAUCGGACCAACCACUGGAAAUUAACGAACCCAACCCAAGAGGGUAAUGUGAACAACAAAAAAACCAAGAAAAACUCACAACAAAUUAAUCGUUAACCCCACACUGGAGUGCCACCUUUAAAGGAAAGACUAAAAGAAAGGGAAGGAACUCGGCAAACACAAGCCUCGCCUGUUUACCAAAAACAUCGCCUCCUGCAACUAGACUGAGUAUAGGAGGUCCAGCCUGCCCAGUGACUACGGGUUCAACGGCCGCGGUAUUUUGACCGUGCAAAGGUAGCGCAAUCACUUGUCUUUUAAAUAGAGACCUGUAUGAAUGGCUAAACGAGGGCUUAACUGUCUCCCCCUUCAAGUCAGUGAAAUUGAUCUAUCCGUGCAGAAGCGGGUAUAAACAUACAAGACGAGAAGACCCUUUGGAGCUUAAGGUACAAAGUUUAACCACAUUAAGCGACUCAAUAAAAAGCAAAAAAUUAGUGGGAAUGAAGUUUUACCUUCGGUUGGGGCGACCACGGAGGAAAAACGAUCCUCCGAGUGGAAUGGGCUAAACCCCUAAAACUAAGAGAAACAUCUCUAAGCCGCAGAACAUCUGACCAAAUAUGAUCCGGCUAAUAAGACCGAUCAACGAACCAAGUUACCCUAGGGAUAACAGCGCAAUCCUCUCCCAGAGUCCAUAUCGACGAGGGGGUUUACGACCUCGAUGUUGGAUCAGGACAUCCUAAUGGUGCAGCCG
This 1228-nucleotide ribosomal RNA is filed under the name Hemigrammocypris neglecta (neglected bitterling). Its description in RNAcentral is "partial 16S ribosomal RNA". It matches the Rfam family "Bacterial large subunit ribosomal RNA", at positions 696 to 2561 of the family's 2925-position model. The record is from RNAcentral. Lineage: Eukaryota; Metazoa; Chordata; Actinopteri; Cypriniformes; Xenocyprididae.